This 1074-nucleotide long non-coding RNA is filed under the name Bos indicus x Bos taurus (hybrid cattle). RNAcentral's name for it is "lncRNA (ENSBIXG00000003541.1)". Lineage: Eukaryota; Metazoa; Chordata; Mammalia; Artiodactyla; Bovidae. The record is from RNAcentral.
GAUGAAAGUUUAGGACGUCUGAGAAUCAAAGCACCCACCAAGAGGACACUGCCUAGUGGCAGCCUCGCUACUGACAACAGCCCUUCCCACACCACAGCCACACGAGCUGCAGCUGCAGGUGCAGCGGUGGCAGCAGACCACAGGGACGCAGCCGCAGCCCUCACAGCAGCCGCAGCAGCGGGGGCAACACUGGUGCAGCAGCUGACCUGGUGGCAUCUGCAGGUGGUGCAGGUGCCACAGCCCCCACUGCAGCCACCACCACAGCCACGGCCACAGUUCCCACCACAGUUACCAACACAGCCACCACCACAGCCACUGCCACAGUUACCAACACAGCUACUAUCACAGCCACCACCGCAGCCCCCACCACAGCCACCACUGCAGCCCCCACCACAGUUACUAACACAGCCACUAUCACAGCCCCCACCACAGACCUCACCACAGUUACUAACACAGCCACUAUCACAGCCCCCACCACAGACCUCACCACAGCCCCCACCCAGCCACGGCCAUGGCCCCCACCACAGCCCCCACCACACCCACCACUGCAGCCCCCACCACAGUUACCAACACAGCCACUAUCACAGCCACCACCACAGCUCCCACCACAACCCCCACCACAGCCACCACCACAGUUACCAACACAGCCACUAUCACAGUCCUCACCACAGCCACCACCACAGCCAUGACCACAGCCCCCACCCAGCCACGGCCACAGCCACCACCACACUCACCACUACAGCCCCCACCACAGCCCCUAACAUAGUCACCACCACAGCCCCCACCACAGUUACCAACACAGCCACUAUCACAGCCACCACCACAGCCACCACCACAGCCCCCACCACAGCCACCACUACAGCCCCCACCACAGCCCCUAACAUAGUCACCACCACAGCCCCCACCACAGCUCCCACCACAGUUACCAACACAGCCACUAUCACAGCCACCACCACAGCCCCCACCACAAGCCACCACCACAGCCACCACUUCAGACACCACUACAACCCCCACCACAGCCCCCACCACAACCCCUACCACAGCUCCCACUACAGUCCCCACCACAGCCCCUAA